AACGAACGCUGGCGGCGUGCCUAACACAUGCAAGUCGCACGAGAAAGCGGGCUUCGGUCCGCCGGUAAAGUGGCAGACGGGUGAGUAACACGUGGGUAACCUGCCCGGAAGUGGGGAAUAACCCUCCGAAAGGAGGGCUAAUACCGCAUGACAUCCCGGGAGCCUUGGCUCCUGGGAUCAAAGCUAGCCUCUACAUGUAAGCUAGUGUUUCCGGAGGGACCCGCGCCCCACUUAGCUAGUUGGNGAGGUAACGGCUCACCAAGGCGACGAUGGGUAGCCGGCCUGAGAGGGUGUCCGGCCACACUGGAACUGAGACACGGUCCAGACUCCUACGGGAGGCAGCAGUGAGGAAUCUUGCGCAAUGGGCGAAAGCCUGACGCAGCGACGCCGCGUGGAGGACGAAGGUCUUCGGGUUGUAAA
Molecule: ribosomal RNA, 420 nt
Filed under: uncultured bacterium
Lineage: Bacteria
Description: bacterial SSU rRNA
Rfam family: Bacterial small subunit ribosomal RNA
Source: RNAcentral